UACGGAGGAUGCAAGCGUUAUCCGGAAUGAUUGGGCGUAAAGCGUCCGCAGGUGGCAAUGUAAGUCUGCUGUUAAAGAGUCUAGCUCAACUAGAUAAAAGCAGUGGAAACUACAUAGCUAGAGUACGUUCGGGGCAGAGGGAAUUCCUGGUGUAGCGGUGAAAUGCGUAGAGAACAGGAAGAACACCGGUGGCGAAGGCGCUCUGCUAGGCCGUAACUGACACUGAGGGACGAAAGCUAGGGGAGCGAAUGGG
Molecule: ribosomal RNA, 253 nt
Filed under: uncultured bacterium
Lineage: Bacteria
Description: partial 16S ribosomal RNA
Rfam family: Bacterial small subunit ribosomal RNA
Source: RNAcentral